This 73-nucleotide transfer RNA is filed under the name Camelus bactrianus (Bactrian camel). It matches the Rfam family "tRNA". From Rfam's summary of the family: Transfer RNA (tRNA) molecules are approximately 80 nucleotides in length. Their secondary structure includes four short double-helical elements and three loops (D, anti-codon, and T loops). RNAcentral also lists the same sequence under 1 other name. Lineage: Eukaryota; Metazoa; Chordata; Mammalia; Artiodactyla; Camelidae. The record is from Rfam by way of RNAcentral.
GAGGGUAUAGCUCAGGUGGUAGAGCACAUGCUUAGCAUGUGUGAGGUCCUGGGUUCAAUCCCCAGUACCUCCA